GACGAACGCUGGCGGCGUGCUUAACACAUGCAAGUCGAACGGAAAGGCCUUUUCGGAGGUACUCGAGUGGCGAACGGGUGAGUAACACGUGGGUGAUCUGCCCUGCACUCUGGGAUAAGCCUGGGAAACUGGGUCUAAUACCGGAUAGGACCGCACUUUAGUGUGUGUGGUGGAAAGUUUUUUCGGUGUAGGAUGAGCCCGCGGCCUAUCAGCUUGUUGGUGGGGUAAUGGCCUACCAAGGCGGCGACGGGUAGCCGGACUGAGAGGUUGGUCGGCCACAUUGGGACUGAGAUACGGCCCAGACUCCUACGGGAGGCAGCAGUGGGGAAUAUUGCACAAUGGGCGCAAGCCUGAUGCAGCGACGCCGCGUGGGGAUGACGGCCUUCGGGUUGUAAACUCCUUUCGCCAGGGACGAAGCGUUUUGUGACGGUACCUGGAGAAGAAGCACCGGCUAACUACGUG
Molecule: ribosomal RNA, 462 nt
Filed under: uncultured bacterium
Lineage: Bacteria
Description: partial 16S ribosomal RNA
Rfam family: Bacterial small subunit ribosomal RNA
Source: RNAcentral